Molecule: ribosomal RNA, 133 nt
Filed under: uncultured bacterium
Lineage: Bacteria
Description: partial 16S ribosomal RNA
Source: RNAcentral
GCACGUAGUUGGCCGGGCCUUCUUCUGGAGGUACCGUCAUUUUCGUCCCUCCUGAAAGCGGUUUACAACCCGAAGGCCUUCAUCCCGCACGCGGUGUCGCUGCAUCAGGCUUUCGCCCAUUGUGCAAUAUUCC